This 32-nucleotide non-coding RNA is filed under the name Mus musculus (house mouse). Lineage: Eukaryota; Metazoa; Chordata; Mammalia; Rodentia; Muridae. The record is from RNAcentral.
UAGAACUCACUACAUAUACCAAGCUGGAACUC